Molecule: unclassified non-coding RNA, 187 nt
Filed under: soil metagenome
Description: partial contains small subunit ribosomal RNA, internal transcribed spacer 1, and 5.8S ribosomal RNA
Source: RNAcentral
UCUCCGUAGGUGAACCUGCGGAGGGAUCAUUAACAAAUCUUCACAAUACCAUGUGUAAAUGUCUGUUCCGUGGGGUGUCGCUGGGGACGCGACGCGUGGGGCAACCCACCCACGGACUAUUACAAACUAUUGACAGAGCAUGUAGAUGCAACAUUAACAACUUUUAACAAUGGAUCUCUUGGCUCUU